CCCCUCUCAGGGUUGCACCUGGAGAAUUUCCAGUACUCUGCCAGUCUUGAGUACAGGAGGGAGAGUCAAGCAGAGGCAUACCCAUUCCAUUCCUACCUUGGGCAGAGGCUAGCGAUUGGAAGGCAAUCUGCUACAAGU
Small nucleolar RNA from Tachyglossus aculeatus (Australian echidna), 138 nucleotides. NCBI's taxonomy places the organism in Eukaryota, Metazoa, Chordata, Mammalia, Monotremata, Tachyglossidae. The record is from RefSeq and is a predicted model, not a curated record.